RNAcentral lists this ribosomal RNA (441 nucleotides) under uncultured bacterium. Its description in RNAcentral is "partial 16S ribosomal RNA". It matches the Rfam family "Bacterial small subunit ribosomal RNA", at positions 338 to 795 of the family's 1533-position model. The record is from RNAcentral.
CCUACGGGAGGCAGCAGUGGGGAAUAUUGCACAAUGGGGGAAACCCUGAUGCAGCGACGCCGCGUGAGUGAAGAAGUAUUUCGGUAUGUAAAGCUCUAUCAGCAGGGAAGAAGCGAGACGGUACCUGACUAAGAAGCCCCGGCUAACUACGUGCCAGCAGCCGCGGUAAUACGUAGGGGGCAAGCGUUAACCGGAUUUACUGGGUGUAAGGGGAGCGUAGACGGGAUGGCAAUGCUGAAGUGAAAGCCCCGGGCUUAACCCUGGGACUGCUUUGGAAACUGUUAGACUAGAGGGCUGGAGAGGUAAGUGGAAUUCCUAGUGUAGCGGUGAAAUGCGUAGAUAUUAGGAGGAACACCAGUGGCGAAGGCGGCUUACUGGACAGUAACUGACGUUGAGGCUCGAAAGCGUGGGGAGCAAACAGGAUUAGAUACCCGUGUAGUC